This 930-nucleotide long non-coding RNA is filed under the name Homo sapiens (human). RNAcentral's name for it is "HSALNT0131401". The record is from RNAcentral. Lineage: Eukaryota; Metazoa; Chordata; Mammalia; Primates; Hominidae.
GAAGGCUGCAGGCCAGGAUGGAGGCUGCGUCUGGGUCGGGACUAGGCUCUCACUCCUGGCAUUUCUGCCCACACUCUCCUGUCUCCUGACAAUCUCAGAAACACAGACAUGAAUAUAGAGACCUCCAUGGACCAGCAACGACAACAUGGGCUGGCCCUGGAGGGGUCCCCCUGUGUCAUCAGGGAUACCCACUGGGGACUCUGCCUGCGAGGCCAGGCAUCUCCAGGUGGCAUUGUGUUCUUGUUGGAGACGCACAUCUAGAGAGGGAAGCAGUGGCUGCACCCAGUCAGCACUGUGGCCACCAGAAUAAUGCAGAGAUAUGUAGACACGUGUGACACCUACUAUUGCUGUGGAUUUUGCAAAAAAAAAAAAUGUAUUUUUCUUCUAUAGAAAAUCCCAUCUUCCCUUGUCGUGGAUAACUCAGGGUUCCUGAAGCGGGAAAUGCCUCAAGAGAACAUGCUCUUGGAUCACGCUGUUUCUGCCUCUAAUCUUGUCCUCAGAGACAUCCACAAAUGGCAAUCUACGGGCCUCUCUGUGUCUAGCUCCUGUCUGGCUCUCUGCCCGGCACUCAUCUGCAUCCUAAUCCAAGCAAUUCACCCUCCUCCUCACGGCCCAGCUCAGAUCUCAGGACCAUUGUUCAUCUCUCAGCCAUUCUCAGGCCACAGGCAACAGCAGACUCAGAUGUUUCUCGUCCCCACACCUCCAUUUAACCAGCUUCGGCAUGGCUGCCCCUGGAAGGUGAAGGCCAUGGAGACAUAGAAGGAAGGAGUGUGGAAACAACCUCUCUCUGUCUCCACAGCACACACAUAUCACAGCCAGGGGCCUGGGAACACGCCCAGGUCAGUCCCACGUAAUCCAGCCCUGCAACUACACACAUGCAUUGUGUCUGCACCUGACCGUGUCCACACCUGUACUAUGUUCAACCUGCAU